UUGGGGAUUUUCCGCAAUGGGCGAAAGCCUGACGGAGCAACGCCGCGUGAGGGAUGAAGGCCUCUGGGCUGUAAACCUCUUUUAUCAAGGAAGAAGAUCUGACGGUACUUGAUGAAUAAGCCACGGCUAAUUCCGUGCCAGCAGCCGCGGUAAUACGGGAGUGGCAAGCGUUAUCCGGAAUUAUUGGGCGUAAAGCGUCCGCAGGCGGCCCUUCAAGUCUGCUGUUAAAAAGUGGAGCUUAACUCCAUCAUGGCAGUGGAAACUGUUGGGCUUGAGUGUGGUAGGGGCAGAGGGAAUUCCCGGUGUAGCGGUGAAAUGCGUAGAUAUCGGGAAGAACACCAGUGGCGAAGGCGCUCUGCUGGGCCAUAACUGACGCUCAUGGACGAAAGCCAGGGGAGCGAAAGGGAUUAGAUACCCCUGUAGUC
RNAcentral lists this ribosomal RNA (425 nucleotides) under uncultured cyanobacterium. RNAcentral describes it as "bacterial SSU rRNA". It matches the Rfam family "Bacterial small subunit ribosomal RNA", at positions 355 to 795 of the family's 1533-position model. The record is from RNAcentral. Lineage: Bacteria; Bacillati; Cyanobacteriota.